This 734-nucleotide ribosomal RNA is filed under the name uncultured bacterium. Its description in RNAcentral is "bacterial SSU rRNA". It matches the Rfam family "Bacterial small subunit ribosomal RNA", at positions 83 to 816 of the family's 1533-position model. The record is from RNAcentral.
UAGCAUAUCAUAGUGGCGCACGGGUGCGUAACACGUAUGCAACCUACCUAUUAUUGGGGGAUAGCCUUUGGAAACGGAGAUUAAUACCGCAUAAUACGAUUGACUGGCAUCGGUUGAUUGUUAAAGCUUCGGCGAUAAUAGAUGGGCAUGCGUCCAAUUAGUUAGUUGGUUAGGUAACGGCUGACCAAGACGAUGAUUGGUAGGGGAUCUGAGAGGAUAAUCCCCCACACUGGCACUGAGAUACGGGCCAGACUCCUACGGGAGGCAGCAGUAGGGAAUAUUGGGCAAUGGGCGGAAGCCUGACCCAGCCAUGCCGCGUGCAGGAAGAAGGCGUUAUGCGUUGUAAACUGCUUUUUUAUAGGAAGAAGGAUCCCUUGCGAGGGAAGGUGACGGUACUAUAAGAAUAAGCACCGGCUAACUCCGUGCCAGCAGCCGCGGUAAUACGGAGGGUGCAAGCGUUGUCCGGAUUUAUUGGGUUUAAAGGGUGCGUAGGCGGUUUAUUAAGUCAGUGGUGAAAGACGGUCGCUCAACGAUUGCAGUGCCAUUGAUACUGGUAGACUUGAGUGAGAUUGAGGUAGCUGGAAUGGAUAGUGUAGCGGUGAAAUGCAUAGAUAUUAUCCAGAACACCGAUUGCGAAGGCAGGUUACUAAGUCUUAACUGACGCUGAGGCACGAAAGUGUGGGGAUCAAACAGGAUUAGAUACCCUGGUAGUCCACACUGUAAACGAUGAUGAC